AACUCAAAGGAGACUGCCAGUGAUAAACUGGAGGAAGGUGGGGAUGACGUCAAGUCAUCAUGGCCCUUACGAGUAGGGCUACACACGUGCUACAAUGGCAUAUACAAAGAGAAGCGACCUCGCGAGAGCAAGCGGACCUCAUAAAGUAUGUCGUAGUCCGGAUUGGAGUCUGCAACUCGACUCCAUGAAGUCGGAAUCGCUAGUAAUCGUAGAUCAGAAUGCUACGGUGAAUACGUUCCCGGGCCUUGUACACACCGCCCGUCACACCAUGGGAGUGGGUUGCAAAAGAAGUAGGUAGCUUAACCUUCGGGAGGGCGCUUACCACUUUGUGAUUCAUGACUGGGGUGAAGUCGUAACAAGGUAACCGUAGGGGAACCUGC
This 380-nucleotide ribosomal RNA is filed under the name Klebsiella aerogenes. Its description in RNAcentral is "bacterial SSU rRNA". It matches the Rfam family "Bacterial small subunit ribosomal RNA", at positions 1136 to 1515 of the family's 1533-position model. Lineage: Bacteria; Pseudomonadati; Pseudomonadota; Gammaproteobacteria; Enterobacterales; Enterobacteriaceae. The record is from RNAcentral.